Phyllopteryx taeniolatus (common seadragon) is the source of this 1023-nucleotide RNA transcript. RefSeq lists it as uncharacterized. The transcript is spliced from 5 exons. The record is from RefSeq and is a predicted model, not a curated record. Lineage: Eukaryota; Metazoa; Chordata; Actinopteri; Syngnathiformes; Syngnathidae.
AUCUGUGUGAGAUAGACCAGGCAUCGUCGUGACCAUCUGUCUCGGCGGGGGAGUGUUAAGAGUAAACAUUUUAAAAAAUUACAAUAACCAAGAAGAGCUCAACAUUGAUUUAUCCAUAUCAAUUGAGGUUGAAAUAUCUUUUUUUAAAUGUAGCUUUGUUGCAUAGGUGGCACAGCUGGAGCUAAUUGGACCCAAUUAGCACCAGCUGUGGUCACUCGUCACCUGCUAUAAAAGCUCGCCUGGUCGGUCAUUUUCACAACUGUCACUGAAACAAUGGCUGCUGUAUGGGUCUUGGUUGUGCUGGUCCAUACUUUCUUCAUGGACAAAGCUUUUUGCACAGGUGGUACAGCUGGAGCUAUUUGGAGCCAAUUGGCACCAGCUGUGGUCACUCGUCACCUGCCAUAAAAACUCGUGGUCGGUCUGCUUUACAACUGUCACUGAACCAAUGGCUCCUGUUUGGUUCUUGGUUGUUCUGGUGCAUGCUGUCUUCAUGGACAAAGGUCUGUUUUUCAGAUAUGGCUCCUGAUGUUUCACUUGCGAGAGAGAGUUGUUGAACUUUUCCAUUCUUUGGACUCUGGGUUUAAACUACACACUCCAGCCCAACCAGCAAGCAAAGGGUCAUUUGGAGACAAAGCAAGUGACUAUGUGAGAAACGACCAGCAGAACCACAACAUGAGCAGCAAGGGUGACCAGAACCACUCCUUCAGCCAUGACCAGCAGAGGUACAACAUGAGCAAGGGUCAGCACAAUGACUUAUUUCAACAAGCUCAUGUAGCUCUGCUGAACGAGGGCCACCAGAAUGAGUCCUUUCAACAAGUCCAGCAGAGUGUCAGCCAGAGCACAAUGAGCCACAAGCGCCAGAGUGAUGAGAAUCUUGACCUGACCGAUGACUAUAGGUCAGGCUACCAGAAUGGACGAUGACUCGACAGAUGAGGGGUUGACUGUGAAUGUUUGAUUUGUACGCCAUGGAAAAGCUUAGUUUCAUGUAACUCCUGUCUGACAGAAUUAAAAUCCUUACCUUCA